RNAcentral lists this ribosomal RNA (597 nucleotides) under Aspergillus fumigatus. Its description in RNAcentral is "eukaryotic LSU rRNA". The stretch from base 216 to 369 matches the Rfam family "5.8S ribosomal RNA". Lineage: Eukaryota; Fungi; Ascomycota; Eurotiomycetes; Eurotiales; Aspergillaceae. The record is from RNAcentral.
UCCGUAGGUGAACCUGCGGAAGGAUCAUUACCGAGUGAGGGCCCUCUGGGUCCAACCUCCCACCCGUGUCUAUCGUACCUUGUUGCUUCGGCGGGCCCGCCGUUUCGACGGCCGCCGGGGAGGCCUUGCGCCCCCGGGCCCGCGCCCGCCGAAGACCCCAACAUGAACGCUGUUCUGAAAGUCUGCAGUCUGAGUUGAUUAUCGUAAUCAGUUAAAACUUUCAACAACGGAUCUCUUGGUUCCGGCAUCGAUGAAGAACGCAGCGAAAUGCGAUAAGUAAUGUGAAUUGCAGAAUUCAGUGAAUCAUCGAGUCUUUGAACGCACAUUGCGCCCCCUGGUAUUCCGGGGGGCAUGCCUGUCCGAGCGUCAUUGCUGCCCUCAAGCACGGCUUGUGUGUUGGGCCCCCGUCCCCCUCUCCCGGGGGACGGGCCCGAAAGGCAGCGGCGGCACCGCGUCCGGUCCUCGAGCGUAUGGGGCUUUGUCACCUGCUCUGUAGGCCCGGCCGGCGCCAGCCGACACCCAACUUUAUUUUUCUAAGGUUGACCUCGGAUCAGGUAGGGAUACCCGCUGAACUUAAGCAUAUCAAUAAGCGGAGGA